Molecule: long non-coding RNA, 1145 nt
Filed under: Pogona vitticeps (central bearded dragon)
Lineage: Eukaryota; Metazoa; Chordata; Lepidosauria; Squamata; Agamidae
Description: lncRNA (ENSPVIG00000015096.1)
Source: RNAcentral
AACUAGAUCAGCACCAUGGACAAUUCCUUGGCUUCGUGAUCAUGAAGUACUGCAGAUCUCGAGGCAGACUUUUCAAAGCAAUGUUCAAAAUCAGUCGAAUGUGCCAAGUUCUCUUUCCUCUGCUGGUGCCUGCCUGGUCAAGGAGGAUAUUUGGCUUAUAAGCCUAACUGGACCAGCAUACCUUUAAAACAGAGAGACACCCGAUCAUCCUUGUGUUUACAGGUUGUCUUCCUUAGCUUCGACCCUCUAUCACUUUUCCUGCUGGCCCUACAAUCAGAAGCCCACCAUAAAAUGCAUCCUCUCCUUUUGGUCCAUGAGAUCCUUGUUACACUAUUCCAGAACCCAGAACCCAUAGUGAGACUGUGGAAUUCCCUGCCACAACCUUUUCCUGCUGGCCCUACAAUCAGAAUCCCAUAGAAUGCAUCAUCUCCUUUUGUUCCGUGAGAUCCUUGUUAGACUACUCCAGAACCCAGAACCUAUAGUGAGACUGUGGAAUUCCCUGCCACAAGGUAUCGUGAUGGCCAUGUGAAUCUGAAUUGGUUUUAGAGAAGUUGAUGAAGGUUGCCACCUCCAGGAUCAAAAAUGUAUACAGCUGUACGUAUGUCCUGCUGGUCAGCUCCCUGGAGACAAUUGAUUGUGGACUGUGUGAAAGGAAUGUCGGAGGAGAUAAGCCUUUGGUCUGAGCCACCACGCUCCUUCUCAGGUUCUUGAUGUCUCCUUUGAUCCUCCUGCUUCUUGCCUUUUGAGUUUUCAAAGUCAAGUCCAUCCGCAUAAAAAGUCCAAGGAGAAUAUCUUUGUGCAUGGAAGAAUUGGUACCCUGCCUGGGAGCCCAGCUUCAUCUCUACCACGGCCACUUUGGAGAUGAAGUGCCAAAGGAAGCUAUUCAAAGAAGCAGGAUUUGUAUCCAAGAAACUUCAGGAUUUUUGUCAAUGGUAAAGCACCGCCUUUAUUCUUUUACCUUCCUGAUUCACAAGGGUCUUGGCUUCUCUUAAUGGAAUUAUCCGUCACUGCCUUGCCUUAAGUGGAUGGCAGAAGAGAUGUCCUCUUGGUGUACUCGGGGUGCGCUGCCCUCUAAACAACCCUGCUUCGCACGGCAUUGAUUCUCUCCGACACGGCCUAAAAUAAAAAACAAACUUUGGAUUUCA